UGGGGAAUUUUGCACAAUGGGGGAAACCCUGAUGCAGCGACGCCGCGUGAUUUAGAAGGCCUUCGGGUUGUAAAAAUCUUUUUUACGGUAUGAAAAUGACAGUACCGUAAGAAUAAGGUCCGGCUAAAUACGUGCCAGCAGCCGCGGUAAUACGUAUGGACCGAGCGUUGUCCGGAAUCAUUGGGCGUAAAGGGUACGUAGGCGGCCUAGUAAGUUAGAAGUGAAAUAAUAUAGCUCAACUAUAUAAAGCUUUUAAAACUGCUAGGCUUGAGAGAUGGAAGGGAAAGUGGAAUUCCUAGUGUAGCGGUGAAAUGCGCAGAUAUUAGGAAGAAUACCGGUGGCGAAGGCGACUUUCUGGUCAUCAUCUGACGCUGAGGUACGAAAGCGUGGGUAGCAAACAGG
This 402-nucleotide ribosomal RNA is filed under the name bacterium. RNAcentral describes it as "partial 16S ribosomal RNA". It matches the Rfam family "Bacterial small subunit ribosomal RNA", at positions 355 to 776 of the family's 1533-position model. The record is from RNAcentral.